CUUUUUCAGGAAGCCAAGUCCAGUUGUAGUGGUGGUGUCUGUCCACCCUUGUGGAUAGGAGGGGUUCCAGGAUACAUGGUUCAUUCCAGAAACAGGGUAAGCUGCAGGGGGGAAAGGUUGGCAGCUACUGCUUGCCCAGUCCAUCUAGCGUUGUACAUAGACCGAUUCUUGGUGAAAGCACCCACCUGGGCCCCCCUCCACAGAGUUCGCCCAGUUCCAAGUCUGUGUGUGUGUGUGUGUAUCGCUGUAGGUAAGUUUGUGUGCGAAUAUGUAUGUGUGUGCAUGCAUGCACGCAUGUAUGUAUGUAUGUGUGUACGUAUAGGUAGGUCUGUAUUUGUGUGGGGGUAACUUUUUAUGGCUGCUACAUGCUAGCAUCUCCCUUAACAUUAUUAUAAAAUGAUAAUUCAGUUUCUUCAAAGGCCACUCUAGAGUAGACAAUGCUUUAUAAAACUAAGGUUUGGGAAGGCAGGAGAAUGGCCACUGAGUCGGAGAUGAUUCCACACGGUUAAGUCUCCUUCAGUGGCUUAAAGGUCUUUUGUUCUUCUUCGGGAUGUGCUUUCCUCCUCCAGAAAAAAAGAAAAAAGAAAAAAGAAUACACAGUUCCCGUUUUUCAAAGGCGUUGGGCUCCCAAAGAGGAGGAUCUGCCCGUGGAGGCUGGGGCCCCGGCUCCGUGCUGUUCGGCCUGGCCAUUAAACCAUGUGCACGGACAUCUGGGAGGAGGAGCCUGGGACCGCCCCGUACUGCCGGCCGUCACAGGUGUUAGUCGCCUGCUGGUUGUUGGGCGAAGGGCUAAUCAUGUGCAUGCUGUGCUCCAUCCCCGUGGGCAGGUACUGCCUCUCUCCAAAGGCCCCGUUGGAAGGAGAAGAACAGAGUAAAGUGCUUUGAGAGGCGCUCAGUUUUUCCGGGCUUGCGGCUAGCCUCGGAGAAGUGGGGAAAUUGUAUCCGUACAGGUUGUAAGGGUUGUGGAGAGAGAAGGCGUUAUAGGAGCUCUGCUGCAUGUGGCUGCCCCCGAACAUGUGUGGUGAGGAGGAGCUCGAGGCUGCAUUGCCCGCCUGCAUGACAUACUGGAACUGGGAAGUGGGGAAGGACCCCAGCUGGCCACCGUAAGCUUCCAUCUUGCUGUUGCUAGGCAACGAGGGAGGAGUCGGUAUUCCUGAGAUCAGGGAUGGAGUCCUCUGAGGCAUGAAGGUUUCGGAGGGCUGAGUGGCUGAAGCAGUGCCACUCUGGAGCCUGUUGUAGCCACUGUCACUCAGCCCCGGGUAGCUCUGCAAGGCAGCCAUGUUGCUUCGGGCACAUGGUGGAUAAUCAGAGAGGUUUAGAUUGCACAGCUGGCUCUCUCGACAGCCCACGUUGAAAGUGUUGGGGGCCAGGUGAAAUGUUGGAGGAGAACAGGAUGGAGACAAAAGAAUUAUAUUUGCGUCUGAGGAUGAAACUUACACAAAAGUGUGCAUGGCCAACAAGGACUUUUCAAGGAAUCCUUUUAAUAUAAAGGAGUUUGGGAAGGGGGCAGCUGAGAAGGAGGAGGAAGAACAUCUCCCACUUCUUGUUUUUGGACGACUGCGUGGCCUCGGCGACAGGGCCGGCCAGGGAAGGUCAGAGAUUCGUUUUCUGCAAGCGGCAUUCUGCACACAUCUUCCUCCUCUUCCACCCUAAACACUAUGAGCUUCGGUGAAAGCAGCGCUGUGGCACAAGUGGAGAAACUUGACUCCAGCUGUAAAGAGGUUUGUGUUUUAUGGGAUAUGUAUCUGGUCUCCUCUCUUUGAAGGUCCGUUCUUGCUCUCCCAGAUCUGGUGUUUAUGGGGUCCCCGAAGAGACCCCCUGUUCGGCACACUGUACCGUCCUGUUGUGGGUUCGCUCUGUCAGGCACUGGCCCUCGCCCUGCAGCAGGAAGCGCAAGAUGCAACAGAUGACUUUUUACAACUCUAAAUGGUUUUCUCAGAUGGCCCGAGAUGGAACGAAUGGUACUGAUUUAAGGCCUCAAUUGGUUUCACUACAAAAAAAUAAGAAGGGAGCUAUUAACAAGUCACAGGGAUUUCUGCUGAGCAGAUGAGAGGUACAUGUUAAAAAGUUUGUAGUCAGCUUGCUUUGGCUUUUAGAUGACACUCCCUGGAAAUGAGACUUGGUGGCCUGCUGAGUUUCAGGGGCGGGAGCCCCCACAUGAACCAGUGUUUGAAGCUGGGGAGCAAGCCUGUCCAAGAGAAGGUCACAUUGCUUCCAUUCACUUUGAAGAAGUGCUCUUGUGCACUUAAAGUACUCAAUACAAACGACAGCUAGUUUUCAAAGUCCACAUAGAGAAUACUGUGGCACUCAUUUUGCAGAGAAGCAAACGAGAUACCGAGAAGUCUUUACUCUCGCAUGAUCUUACAGCUUGUCGGCUGUUAAACAAGAUCGGAAGUGCCAGCCAAGCACUAAAUAAGCGUAAGGAGGCAGGCUGCCCUCCCUGUGCAUCUCAACACUCGGCUGCCUGAGGCCUCUCAUCACAAAAGAGCUAGGGCAGAGUGGAAAGCCAGGCGACACUGAUACAAAGGGGGCAGAGCUGCCUCUCAGAGAAAAGCACACCUCCCUUUCUUGUAUAACAUUCUCGCCUCACCCCUCUGCCACAGCCAGGUCCUGAAUGCUCUCAGGGUCUUGAUUGAAGCUUUAUUUAAUAGAUGAGUGUGGGCUGUAGCGUUUGGAUUGCCCAGCUGUCUUACUGAUUACAGGACCUUGCAAGUUAGCCUCUCUCUAUACAAAUGGAAUUUCGGGUAUCUACCUUUGUAGAGAUGUUCUGAGAAACAGAUGAAAUAACAUAUAACACAAAGUGCACAAAGGCAUUAAAUAUUUAUUUCCUUUUCUUUUCCCUUCUGUCAGUGAAGAAGGAGUGAAAGAAGGAGAAAGGAAUCACAGGGCAUUUGGGUUCUGAUUGGGAGACUCUCAGGUGUUGGCUUCUGUCUAUGGAGCUGAGCAUGUCUGGCCUCCCCACACUCUGGUGAGCAUAUGUCACAGCUAGAUGCCCGGAUGUAACAGGCUGGAGGAGCCUCCGUGGUUGCGAAUGACAGAGCACUGGGCCCGUGACCACUAUGGGCCCACUAAGCCUGUACUCCCAAAGGCUAAACCAGCUCUGUUUCCUCUCUGAACGAUCUUUCCCUCUCGCCUCACCCCUGCCUAGAAUGGAAAUUCCAUGCUCUGUGUCUCUAUUCUCAGAUCAAGCAAGCGGAAUUGAACACAAAUAGGUAGGUUGGUGUCUUUCCCACUGUCCCCAGAGGCCUUAAUCCAUGUCUGAGAGGUGAUUAAAAUGUAAUGCCCUAAGUAGCUGAAAACUCUCUGGUAUUCCAGGACCAAUCCCCCACCCGCCCCACCUCCCUGCAUCUUGUUUUACCCAUGGACCCAAGUGAGGAGA
Long non-coding RNA from Acinonyx jubatus (cheetah), 3379 nucleotides. RefSeq lists it as uncharacterized. The transcript has 2 exons. Lineage: Eukaryota; Metazoa; Chordata; Mammalia; Carnivora; Felidae. The record is from RefSeq and is a predicted model, not a curated record.